AAGAAGACAAGAAAAAAAUAAAAUAAAAACUCUUUUUCUUUUCCCCCUCGUCUAGCAACCAGUCGGCCAGAGGAGCCCAACCCCUCACGCUUGCACGCACGGGAGCAGGGAGCAUCCAGCCACGCCUUGGCCAGGGGCCCACCCAUCGGUAGCCAUAGAUGCUGCACCGUGGGCCCUGUGUGUCAGGUCCAUCUUCUUCUCAAUCGUAACUGCUUGCUCUAUUUCUCCGUUGCUGCACACGCCCAUGAUUUUGCAACCGUCGUCCUUCAAAUCUGUGCCCCGCUCCCCACGCCUCGCAGCCCUCUAACUUUUCGCUACUCGACAGCCAUCCGCGCCGCACUGCCUUGCGUCCCGCCGUCAUUUACCACAUCGCGCAGAUCUCUGUCGCGCACCUAGGUGCCUCCGUCGCACGGGAAGACUUCGCCAAGUCGCCGGCAACAACCAGCAAGCGCCCGCGAGCCCAUGCUGGGAGCACUGCAAAAGCUCACCAUCAUCGUCGCGUCUGUUUCCUUGCCUCGUCGUCGCAUUCACGCAUCAGCAGGAAGCCGGAGCCACCGCUGCGACGUCUGCUUGCCGGAGCUUCGCUGAGCUACCCUCCGCGAUCAUCUUCGUCGAGCUUCCUUCCGAGGUGAGGUUUGUGCCUACCCUUCUGUAGCCACGCCGUCCUGGGCGAGCUCCACCCCAUGCGCGUGUGCCCCCGCCCUUGCUGUAUGCGUGUUGCAGCCAGCCUGGCCAUGAGCCACCGCUAGGCGAGGCCUAGACAUGGGCAGGUGGUUCCUCCACGGCUGGCUCCUUGCUCAAAUGCUUGCUGCAGUUCACGUUCUUGGAAUGAGAAAGAAACUGCUCCUUGUCGUGAGGUAGCUUGUCGUGAGGUAGAAGAGAGGCCGUAGCCACACAUCCCACUAAAUCCGAGCACAUUUGGCUGAGGUCUAUGCGACCCUCUGUGAGGCUCAUUUUUUCGGCCAAUAGAAGUGUGUCGUGUCACAGUAAUCCGCGAGAUAAUAAAUAUUCAAUAUAUUUUGUGUCCCGAAUUCGUUUUAAUCCGUUCCAGUUACGUUUGCUUCGUAAUAAUAUCGUCUACAUGUUAAGAACAUUAUUUUGUCACAACACAUGUCUUCGUUAAUUUAUUAAUUAUUUGUUUAUCCGAUGGUAAUUAAAAUAGCAAUUCAAUUUAAACUAAUAUGUAGUUUAAAUCUGUGCAGUUAUAAAUACAUGUUAACAUAAAUAAUGUUGCCUCAAAUACAUGGAUCAAAUAGUCGUCUAGUGUAAACACAACGUCUAUUUAGUAGUUUUCGCGUGUCAUUCACGCGUUGUUUUUGCGUCGUCGUCGUUCGUUCGCGCGUUCGCGCCACGCGUCUCGUUCGCGUGUUAUCGCAUGUUGUUCGCGCGCCGUUUGCGCGUCGUCCGUGCGCUAAGUCGAGAGUGUCCGCGCGUUGUUCGAAUGUGUUGUUCGCGCAUUGUCGCGUGCCACACGUUGUCCGCGUGCGACAUUAAAUCGUUCACUUAUAAUCACUCAGCACAGUUAAUUAAUUAUUGGUUUAAUCUUUCACUAUUAAAAUAGGAAUUUAGUCCAAACUAAGUAGUAGUUGAUAAAUGUCAAUCAAUAUAAAUUAUGUUGAACUAAUGUUCUAACCAAUACUUGUUUAGCGUAACCGCGUUAUUUGUUGGCGUCGUCACAGUGUCUACGCGCUGUUCGCGCGUGAUGUGCUUGUGGUCGCGUGCUGGUUCGUGCGCGUUCGCGCUCGUCGCGCGCGCUGUUUUCGUGUGUCGCCAGCGUGCUAUGUCGCGCAUGUCCGCGCGUCGUUUGCACGCUAUCGUGCUGUUUCACGCGUCAUAAAUUCAUCUCGCUUAGAAUCUCUUGUUUUAAUUAAAUUAUUUAAUUAACUGACAUUUGUUAGUGUAGAAGAUUAAUCGAACUGACUGAUGUAUAACAUUUAUAUUUGUUAAUGUCGAAUUAAAUGUUAUAUUUGUUUAACGUAAACGCGAUAACUCUCGACUGUAGCUUCGACCGAACUCUAUUUUAUGUUGCAUGUUUUUAUAACACUUUAUCUUGUAUGGUGUAAUGUUCUUAUGCAUAGAUCUAUGUUUGUUUGCUUGUGCUUGUUCGUCUUCGCUUCGCGUUGCGAUUAGAUCGCGAUUUGUUUCCGCACUUCGAGGAAUCGAAGAUCAAGAGUUGGCGACCAAGUGAUCUGGUUCUUCGAGUUCUACGAGAUUGAAGACCCUGAGCAUCUGUUUGGUGAAGGCAAGUGUCCUCUGACCCAUUAUGUCCCAUUUACUUUAUAAUACACUGUCCCGCAUACUAUGAACAACCUAAGGAUUUACUAGCUUUCUAUUUACCUUGUCCUUGAUUUACCUUUUGGGUCACUAUGGUUAGCUACAUGCUAGCGCUUUACUUUAAUCAAUGAACAUGAUGAGAUACAAUGAUGAUACUAUGAUUUUAUUCUGGAUAUGAUGAUAUAUUUGUGGCAUUUAGGGGACUCGGGCUGUUUCCCGAGUACCUCUCCGUAAGGACCUGUUCGUUGAGAGACCACCCAGGAUAACAGUGCAACCAUGAGGGUCAAAUGGGGGGCCCUUAGCUAAUUAAUUAGAGGAACUAGAGGUGUAGUUGCUUCGCCGUCGUGCCGUCAAUGGGGUCCAGGCACAAUGCUUGCUCUGCCGAGGCUGGGUGCCGAGGUUCUUUCGUUUUGCUUUUGUUAGUCACCCUCCUACGGGGAGGAGUGCUGUGUUUAUCAAACUGGAGAAACCUAACGGGCGGCUAUGACCUCUAGGGAAUCUUUGUAAAAGCUACGUAGUGAUACCCUACCGGACCACCUAGGAAGUGAUCAAUGGGGAGUCAUGAUCCCCGGGCAAAACGGGAAUCACGGCUCAUGGGUAAAGUGAGCGACCUCUGCAGAGGGUAAUGAAACUGAUAUAUCAGCCGUGCUCACGAUUAAGAGCAGCCUUGGGAUCCUCUUUGAUUAGAGAUACAAAUGAUCUGAGAUACAAUGGUUCUAUUUAUUAUUUUGGUUCGAUGACGAUAAUGAUGUUCCUCGAUGAGGAAAUGAUUCACGGGUUGGUUAUUGCUAAAACUUGGUGUCCACUAAUAAUAAACACUUGACCAACUAAAAGCAACUGCUUUGACCUUAACCCCACAUAAAGCUAGUCCACUUCAGCCAAACAGGACAUUUGCUGAGUACGUUGAUAUGUACUCACCCUUGCUUUCACAAAACACCAGGUUGCCUUUGGUGUAAUCUAUGCUCAGGUAAAGAAGAAGGCGUCGAGGCAGAUCUCCAGGAGUUUUAGGACCUCGACGAGUUCGAGUAUUAGGCUAGCGACCUCCCCCAGUCAGCUGCCUAUGGUGGGUUAAUUUACGUUGGCUACGUUUUGAUUCUGUGUACUUUGAUUCAUAUUAUGUAAAUGACUCUAGUCUUUAAUAUUAUUACUUAUUCUUUAUUGUUAUCCGAAGCAUUGUGCUAUGAUGAGUCAUUUAUGUAAUCGCUGUGUACGUGAAUUUCUGAUCCUGGCACGUACAUGGUUCGCAUUCGGUUUACCUUCCAAAACCGGGUGUGACAUAAGUGGUAUCAAAGCCGUGCUGACUGUAGGACCGCUAGCCUAGAGUAGCAUUGGCCGUUUUAAGGACUUAUUGACUAUUACUUCACCCCAUCCUUGAUGCUGCUUCAAAAUAUUAGUCACCUCGACUAAUUCUAUGUUAUGCUUCUAUAUAUCACCUUGCCAAAUGUAUUUUGUUCUAAUAUUGUCUAUGCUUCACCUAUUCAUUCUAUUAGAUCUGAUUUCACUCUUGUGCUUGCGACAUCUUUGUAGAUGCCCCCUGAUCAUAACCUUCUUGUCUUUUGGGAUUCUUUUUGUCUUCCAUUAUUAAAUUGCUACCAUUUGACCAUAUCUAUUCCAUUGGUAUUGACCUGCUGCAUCUUUUGGAUUCUUCCAUACCCUUAUCCCUUAAUUCAAAUACUUAACCCUGAAAACUCUGUUGCCCAUUUAAACAUUCUAAUUUAUAUUUUCAUGAUCAUCCUAUCUUUUGAGACCCUUUCCUAUUCUGUUGUUAAGUCACUAUCUUUUGGCUAUUCGUACUCCCUUGGUCUUAGUAUGCUCGCACCUUCAGAAUCUUGCGUACUCUUACUUUUUAUAUAAAUGCUUACCUUUUUACCCCAAUGUUUGUUUAAGACAUUUUAGUUAACAUGUCCUUGACCACCCCUGUUUCUUAACGAUCCAUGAGCGAUCAUUUUAUGUUGCCCAUCCUUGGUGAUCUCAUUGUUCCUUUUUAACUUCUCUCGAUAAUGAAUUCUUACUUCAACCAUUCUAUUGCACCCUCACCUAUCUUACCUUGAUUAUUUUCUCCACUUCGUCAUUUCGCGAGUCUUGCCUUAACUCUAUCCUUUGUUAUGCCUUUCAUUAUUAUCACCUUCGUCUUUGACACCUCUAUACCUUACCUUGAUGCCUAUCUUAUACCUGCGCUCCAAAACCUUCUCUCUUUCGUCUCAAUUUUAAACAUUGAAGGUUACCUAUUUUCCCUCAGUUGCAUCCUAUUCCUUGUCGCUUGCGAGUUUUUAACUCCACCCUUUGUUAUCUGUUACUACCUUUAUCUUCGCCGUCUCUCCAUCUUACCUUGAUGACUAUCUUAUGUCUGUUAUUUAAAGUUCCCUCUCUCAUCUCAAUUCGAGGGAAGUGUUUUACUUAUCCUGCCCUUGGUCGGAACCUCGUCUUCGCUAGGUGUGAGUCUUAUCUUAACUCCAUUCUUUGUUGUACUCAUACCACUGGCUCUUCUAUGCCUUCAUCUUUUCUCAUAUACCCUUGUCUGUUAUCGCGUUUGACCCUUGCGAUAUUUAUGUCUUCUACCUAAAUGCUUACCUUGAACUUGUCCUUUAAAAGCCUCCCCUUUCUUUCAACCUAGUUUGAGAGCUAUGAGUUACUUAUCUCUCCCAUGAUUUCUUUUCACUCCUUGUCGCCUUACAAGUUUUGUCUUAAUUCCAUCCUUUGCUGUGUUUUUUAUUUGCUAUCACCAUCACCUUUUCAUCCAUCGAUCUUGCGUCGAUACUCAUCUUUAUUCUGACUAUUAAAAAUCUCCUCUCUUCCACCUCAAUUUGAGAGUGGCAAUUUACCUAUCUGGCCCUUGGACGUACCCUCUCCUUUUCCACUUGUAGGUCUUGUCUUAACUCCAUACUUGGUGGUACUUAUAUUCUUGGUUCUUAUGCCCAUUUACCUCCUCUCCUACACCUUUGUCCGUUAUCACCUUUAAACCCACGUGAUGUCUAUGCCCUGACCUUCACGCUUACCUUGAACCUACCCUUUGAAACCUCCUCUUUUCCAUCCCUGUAAGAGGAUAAUGCCUUAUCUAUUUCAUCAUUGACUGCUCCCCCAUCUUUGGCACCUUGCAAGUUUUGCCUAAAGUACAUCCUUUGUGGUGUAUUUGUCUGUUACCACCCUCACCAUUGUCAUCCCUCGUUCCUUACAUUGAUGCUUAUCUCGUACCGGUAUUUUAAAGCCUCCUUUCUCGUUUCAGUUCAAGAGUGUUGUCUUACCCCUCCCCGCUCUUGUCCGUUCCCUUUUCCUCUGUCGCGUUGCAAGCCUUGUCUUAGCUCGAUCAUUUGGUGUGCUUUCGUCCAUUAACUCCUUUACCUUUGUAAUCACUAGAUCUUUCCAUGAUGCUUAUCAUAUGCCUACCUUUUUAAAUAUCACAUUUUCCCUCUCGUUUUGAGAAUGGUGUUUUACCUAUCCUGACCAUGGUUGCAUUCUAUCCCGGUUGGUUACAAUCCUUGCUUUAGCUCCAUCCUUUAUUGUGCUCAUGCCCCUAUCCUGCAGGUCUUAUUAUUCCCCUUGCAUGGCCUUAGAAUAGUUUCCCCUUGGUAAGGAAAGACCACCAUUUAAUUAAAAAUUACGUAUAGCAACGAGAGGUUUGUUGUUGUUUGUUUGUGUUGUUUGUCUUUGUGUUAUGACUGAUUUGCUUCUUUGUGAUGAGUGUUGGUGUGUUGUGGCCCUUGGGUCCGCAGUGGCAUCCGUUUACUAGUAGAGUGCCGUAGAGUUAAUUAGCUGGGUGCUCUCCCUUUUUCUCUCUUUAAUCCAUCUAGGCUUAACUUUUCUACCUAUACCCUUACCUCUUGCGUCUGUUCGGUUGGCAUCCUUCAGCCUCUUUUAAUCAGUCAAGAUCAGAGUCGUCAGCACCUUCACCAAGUGCAUAUCAAUGCUCCUGUUAAGGGGGUUAGCCGCUAACCCCAAUGAAGACAAUGCGAUCAACAUCAACCAACAAGAUUGAAGUGGUGCAGCGAAAGCGUGUGUGGGUCCUAACCCACAGGUCCAGAGAUCCUCAGGAAGUGUAUCGAUUGGUCGUGAUUAUCUGAAGGUCAAAGCAACCAGGCCACAAGUUAAGCUUGCAGAGCCAAAGUUGAAAUGAAGAAACUUCUAACAACCUAUGAACCAACCUUGUCGUUCUUGCUAGCCUCUUCUUGAAUCUCGGGGGCGAGAUUCUGUUAAGGGGGUUAGAUUUGUAACACCCUGAAUUUAGGGGUAUAAAAUUUAUUUUCCAAUAUCCACCAAAUUCAGGUGUUACUCUCUCAUUUCUUUGUUUUCCUUCUCUUUUUACUAAACAUAGAGAAUUAUUUUUGUUUUAUAUUGACGUAAACCUAGUGGAAUAAAACCACAGAGACGCUUUUGAUUGUUGCAUUUGCCGAUAAUAGUUUUUGUUUAUUAAAAAUGAUCUUAGUGGUGUUUACGUUCGAAAGAAGGAAAAACUAUAGAAUCUAAAUUAUUUAGGCAUGAUCUAAAAUAAACAGAUAUAUUCAUAUAUAUAUAUAUAUAUAUAAAUGUAUAGCUACGUAUAGGGAUUAAAAAAGAAGACAAGAAAAAAAUAAAAUAAAAACUCUUUUUCUUUUCCCCCUCGUCUAGCAACCAGUCGGCCAGAGGAGCCCAACCCCUCACGCUUGCACGCACGGGAGCAGGGAGCAUCCAGCCACGCCUUGGCCAGGGGCCCACCCAUCGGUAGCCAUAGAUGCUGCACCGUGGGCCCUGUGUGUCAGGUCCAUCUUCUUCUCAAUCGUAAUUGCUUGCUCUAUUUCUCCGUUGCUGCACACGCCCAUGAUUUUGCAACCGUCGUCCUUCAAAUCUGUGCCCCGCUCCCCACGCCUCGCAGCCCUCUAACUUUUCGCUACUCGACAGCCAUCCGCGCCGCACUGCCUUGCGUCCCGCCGUCAUUUACCACAUCGCGUAGAUCUCUGUCGCGCACCUAGGUGCCUCCGUCGCACGGGAAGACUUCGCCAAGUCGCCGGCAACAACCAGCAAGCGCCCGCGAGCCCAUGCUGGGAGCACUGCAAAAGCUCACCAUCAUCGUCGCGUCUGUUUCCUUGCCUCGUCGUCGCAUUCACGCAUCAGCAGGAAGCCGGAGCCACCGCUGCGACGUCUGCUUGCCGGAGCUUCGCUGAGCUACCCUCCGCGAUCAUCUUCGUCGAGCUUCCUUCCGAGGUGAGGUUUGUGCCUACCCUUCUGUAGCCACGCCGUCCUGGGCGAGCUCCACCCCAUGCGCGUGUGCCCCCGCCCUUGCUGUAUGCGUGUUGCAGCCAGCCUGGCCAUGAGCCACCGCUAGGCGAGGCCUAGACAUGGGCAGGUGGUUCCUCCACGGCUGGCUCCUUGCUCAAAUGCUUGCUGCAGUUCACGUUCUUGGAAUGAGAAAGAAACUGCUCCUUGUCGUGAGGUAGCUUGUCGUGAGGUAGAAGAGAGGCCGUAGCCACACAUCCCACUAAAUCCGAGCACAUUUGGCUGAGGUCUAUGCGACCCUCUGUGAGGCUCAUUUUUUCGGCCAAUAGAAGUGUGUCGUGUCACAGUAAUCCGCGAGAUAAUAAAUAUUCAAUAUAUUUUGUGUCCCGAAUUCGUUUUAAUCCGUUCCAGUUACGUUUGCUUCGUAAUAAUAUCGUCUACAUGUUAAGAACAUUAUUUUGUCACAACACAUGUCUUCGUUAAUUUAUUAAUUAUUUGUUUAUCCGAUGGUAAUUAAAAUAGCAAUUCAAUUUAAACUAAUAUGUAGUUUAAAUCUGUGCAGUUAUAAAUACAUGUUAACAUAAAUAAUGUUGCCUCAAAUACAUGGAUCAAAUAGUCGUCUAGUGUAAACACAACGUCUAUUUAGUAGUUUUCGCGUGUCAUUCACGCGUUGUUUUUGCGUCGUCGUCGUUCGUUCGCGCGUUCGCGCCACGCGUCUCGUUCGCGUGUUAUCGCAUGUUGUUCGCGCGCCGUUUGCGCGUCGUCCGUGCGCUAAGUCGAGAGUGUCCACGCGUUGUUCGAAUGUGUUGUUCGCGCAUUGUCGCGUGCCACGCGUUGUCCGCGUGCGAUAUUAAAUCGUUCACUUAUAAUCACUCAGCACAGUUAAUUAAUUAUUGGUUUAAUCUUUCACUAUUAAAAUAGUAAUUUAGUCCAAACUAAGUAGUAGUUGAUAAAUGUCAAUCAAUAUAAAUUAUGUUGAACUAAUGUUCUAACCAAUACUUGUUUAGCGUAACCGCGUUAUUUGUUGGCGUCGUCACAGUGUCUACGCGCUGUUCGCGCGUGAUGUGCUUGUGGUCGCGUGCUGGUUCGUGCGCGUUCGCGCUCAUCGCGCGCGCUGUUUUCGUGUGUCGCCAGCGUGCUAUGUCGCGCAUGUUCGCGCGUCGUUUGCACGCUAUCGUGCUGUUUCACGCGUCAUAAAUUCAUCUCGCUUAGAAUCUCUUGUUUUAAUUAAAUUAUUUAAUUAACUGACAUUUGUUAGUGUAGAAGAUUAAUCGAACUGACUGAUGUAUAACAUUUAUAUUUGUUAAUGUCGAAUUAAAUGUUAUAUUUGUUUAACGUAAACGCGAUAACUCUCGACUGUAGCUUCGACCGAACUCUAUUUUAUGUUGCAUGUUUUUAUAACACUUUAUCUUGUAUGGUGUAAUGUUCUUAUGCAUAGAUCUAUGUUUGUUUGCUUGUGCUUGUUCGUCUUCGCUUCACGUUACGAUUAGAUCGCGAUUUGUUUCCGCACUUCGAGGAAUCGAAGAUCAAGAGUUGGCGACCAAGUGAUCUGGUUCUUCGAGUUCUACGAGAUUGAAGACCCUGAGCAUCUGUUUGGUGAAGGCAAGUGUCCUCUGACCCAUUAUGUCUCAUUUACUUUAUAAUACACUGUCCCGCAUACUAUGAACAACCUAAGGAUUUACUAGCUUUCUAUUUACCUUGUCCUUGAUUUACCUUUUGGGUCACUAUGGUUAGCUACAUGCUAGCGCUUUACUUUAAUCAAUGAACAUGAUGAGAUACAAUGAUGAUACUAUGAUUUUAUUCUGGAUAUGAUGAUAUAUUUGUGGCAUUUAGGGGACUCGGGCUGUUUCCCGAGUACCUCUCCGUAAGGACCUGUUCGUUGAGAGACCACCCGGGAUAACAGUGCAACCAUGAGGGUCAAAUGGGGGGCCCUUAGCUAAUUAAUUAGAGGAACUAGAGGUGUAGUUGCUUCGCCGUCGUGCCGUCAAUGGGGUCCAGGCACAAUGCUUGCUCUGCCGAGGCUGGGUGCCGAGGUUCUUUCGUUUUGCUUUUGUUAGUCACCCUCCUGCGGGGAGGAGUGCUGUGUUUAUCAAACUGGAGAAACCUAACGGGCGGCUAUGACCUCUAGGGAAUCUUUGUAAAAGCUACGUAGUGAUACCCUGCCGGACCACCUAGGAAGUGAUCAAUGGGGAGUCAUGAUCCCCGGGCAAAACGGGAAUCACGGCUCAUGGGUAAAGUGAGCGACCUCUGCAGAGGGUAAUGAAACUGAUAUAUCAGCCGUGCUCACGGUUAGGGAUGGCAAUUGGACCCGUGGGUAUGGAUACCCACGGGUUUCGUACCCGGUGGACAUGGAUACGGGUUUGAAAUCUUACCCGUGGAUACUAUCGGGUCGGGUACCCGAAAUACGUCGGGUAGGGUACGAAUAAUAUGUUUUAUCCAUGGAUAUCCACUGGAUACCCGAAUUGUGAUUUGUGGCCCAUGAAGCAAAGAAAAGAAGCCCAACUGCCCAAAGGCUAAAUCAGCAACCGGCUAAGCUAACCCUAAAUUCCCUAACUCCCUUCCGGCCUUCCCUUCCCGAGCUCCCAUCCCGGCCGCCCAGGCGCUCAUCCCAGCCGCCAGACCCAGGAGGCAGGACCCCAGCGCAGCAGCGCCCCACGCUAGUCGCCACAUCCCCGCGCCCCCGCCCAGCAGCCAGUCCCCGGCGGCGGCCAGGCCACAUCCCCGCCCAGCAGCCACUCCCAGGCGGCGGCCGCCGGCCAGGCCACAUCCCCGCGCGUGCUACGCCUGUGGCCUGCGUGGCUGCGACCUGCGACGAGGAGCCUCGCGCGAGCUACGCCUGCGGCCUGCGACGAGCCCCGAGCGGUCGAGCUGCGCCUGCGUGGCUGCGACCGGUGACCGUCCCCAAGCUGCGACUGCGACUGCGACUGUGACUGGCGACCGUCUCCAACCUGCGACGUCCCCGAGCCCUAGGCCCGACCGGCGUCCCCGAGCUGUGCCUGCGCCGUCCCCAACCUCAGGUACUCAGUAGGCAUGAAGAUUUAUAUUUUACAGUACCAUAUCCACCGGAUACCCGAUACCCGACGGAUACCCGGUGGGUAUGGGUACGGGUCCAUUUUUUUACCCGAUUGACUUGGUGGGUAUGGAUAUUUGUAUAAGGGUCGGGUAUGAUAUCGGGUCGGGUAUUAUCAGACCCGAACACAACCCGACCCGCUGCCAUCCCUACUCACGGUUAAGAGCAGCCUUGGGAUCCUCUUUGAUUAGAGAUACAAAUGAUCUGAGAUACAAUGGUUCUAUUUAUUAUUUUGGUUCGAUGACGAUAAUGAUGUUCCUCGAUGAGGAAAUGAUUCACGGGUUGGUUAUUGCUAAAACUUGGCGUCCACUAAUAAUAAACACUUGACCAACUAAAAGCAACUGAUUUGACCUUAACCCCACAUAAAGCUAGUCCACUUCAGCCAAACAGGACAUUUGCUGAGUACGUUGAUGUGUACUCACCCUUGCUUUCACAAAACACCAGGUUGCCUUUGGUGUAAUCUAUGCUCAGGUAAAGAAGAAGGCGUCGAGGUAGAUCUCCAGGAGUUUUAGGACCUCGACGAGUUCGAGUAUUAGGCUAGCGACCUCCCCCAGUCAGCUGCCUGUGGUGGGUUAAUUUACGUUGGCUACCUUUUGAUUCUAUGUACUUUGAUUCAUAUUAUGUAAAUGACUCUAGUCUUUAAUAUUAUUACUUAUUCUUUAUUGUUAUCCGAAGCAUUGUGCUAUGAUGAGUCAUUUAUGUAAUCGCUGUGUACGUGAAUUUCUGAU
RNAcentral lists this long non-coding RNA (11259 nucleotides) under Zea mays. Its description in RNAcentral is "long non-coding RNA (ZMAY_LNC000155)". Lineage: Eukaryota; Viridiplantae; Streptophyta; Magnoliopsida; Poales; Poaceae. The record is from RNAcentral.